This 383-nucleotide ribosomal RNA is filed under the name uncultured eukaryote. Its description in RNAcentral is "partial 18S ribosomal RNA". It matches the Rfam family "Eukaryotic small subunit ribosomal RNA", at positions 592 to 976 of the family's 1831-position model. The record is from RNAcentral.
UGUAAGCGUAUACCAAAGUUGUUGCAGUUAAAACGCUCGUAGUCGGAACUUGGCCGUGUCGGAUGAGUGCACGUCGUGUGCGCGCAUUGCAGAUAUGGCUUUUGUGGCUUUUGCGUACGAUGAGGCACGUUUAUUCGUGAACGUCGUUCCGCAGCCACUCUUUACUGUGAGAAAAUCAAAGUGCUCAAAGCAGGCAUUUGCCGUGAAUGUAUUAGCAUGGAAUAAUAGAAUAGGACUCGGUUCUAUUUUGUUGGUUUGUUGGGGCUGAGUAAUGAUUAAGAGGGACAGUUGGGGGCAUUUGUAUUUCGGCGCUAGAGGUGAAAUUCUUAGAUUGCCGAAAGACAAACUGCUGCGAAAGCGUCUGCCAAGGAUGUUUUCAUUGA